AGUAUGUCGAAUCCCCGCAAGGGGUACGGAGGACCCGCGCACGUGGGGUGAAUCUGCCAUUUUCGCAGAGGGCCUGCCUCAGGCCUAACCCGUCAGCUAACUUCGGAGACAGAGAGGA
RNAcentral lists this small RNA (118 nucleotides) under Megasphaera hominis. RNAcentral describes it as "ydaO/yuaA leader". It matches the Rfam family "c-di-AMP riboswitch aptamer (ydaO/yuaA leader)", at positions 11 to 126 of the family's 134-position model. From Rfam's summary of the family: This family represents a conserved RNA structure found upstream of the ydaO and yuaA genes in Bacillus subtilis and related genes in other bacteria. The ydaO/yuaA element is thought to act as a genetic "off" switch for the ydaO and yuaA genes in its native state. The record is from RNAcentral. Lineage: Bacteria; Bacillati; Bacillota; Negativicutes; Veillonellales; Veillonellaceae.